AUACGUAGGGGGCAAGCGUUGUCCGGAUUUACUGGGUAUAAAGGGAGCGCAGGCGGAUUCGUAAGUCAGGGGUGAAAUCCUACAGCUUAACUGUAGAACUGCCUUUGAUACUGCGAGUCUUGAGAUCGGAAGAGAGAGACGGGAUUCCAGGUGUAGUGGUGAAAUACGUAGAUAUCUGGAAGAACACCGAUGGCGAAGGCAGUCUCUUGGUCCGUAUCUGACGCUGAGGCUCGAAAGCGUGGGGAGCAAACAGGAUUAGAAACCCCAGUAGUCC
Molecule: ribosomal RNA, 274 nt
Filed under: uncultured bacterium
Lineage: Bacteria
Description: partial 16S ribosomal RNA
Rfam family: Bacterial small subunit ribosomal RNA
Source: RNAcentral